This is a non-coding RNA of Desulfobacterales bacterium GWB2_56_26, 73 nucleotides long. The record is from Rfam. NCBI's taxonomy places the organism in Bacteria, Pseudomonadati, Thermodesulfobacteriota, Desulfobacteria, Desulfobacterales.
GGGGCUAUAGCUCAGCUGGGAGAGCGCUUGACUGGCAGUCAAGAGGUCGUCGGUUCGAUCCCGUCUAGCUCCA